CUUGGUGAUAGGAGCGACAGUGGUACACCCGGACACAUCUCGAACCCGGAAGUUAAGGCUGUUAGCGCCGAUGGUACUUGGGGGG
This 85-nucleotide ribosomal RNA is filed under the name Chloroflexi bacterium HGW-Chloroflexi-2. The record is from RNAcentral. Lineage: Bacteria; Bacillati; Chloroflexota.